Non-coding RNA from Bos taurus (domestic cattle), 72 nucleotides. The record is from Rfam. NCBI's taxonomy places the organism in Eukaryota, Metazoa, Chordata, Mammalia, Artiodactyla, Bovidae.
UCCCUUAUAGCUCAGUCGGUAAAGAAUCUGCCUGCAAUGCAGGAGACCUGGGUUCGAUCCCUGGGUGGGGAA